This 459-nucleotide ribosomal RNA is filed under the name uncultured bacterium. Its description in RNAcentral is "partial 16S ribosomal RNA". It matches the Rfam family "Bacterial small subunit ribosomal RNA", at positions 338 to 795 of the family's 1533-position model. The record is from RNAcentral.
CCUACGGGAGGCUGCAGUGAGGAAUAUUGGUCAAUGGGCGCGAGCCUGAACCAGCCAAGUCGCGUGAGGGAAGACGGUCCUAUGGAUUGUAAACCUCUUUUGUCGGGGAGCAAAAGACGCCACGCGUGGCGUUCCGAGAGUACCCGAAGAAAAAGCAUCGGCUAACUCCGUGCCAGCAGCCGCGGUAAUACGGAGGAUGCGAGCGUUCUCCGGAUUUAUUGGGUGUAAAGGGGGCGCAGGCGGAAGAUCAAGGCAGCGGUAAAAUUGAGAGGCUCAACCUCUUCGAGCCGUUGAAACUGGGGUUCUUGAGUGAGUGAGAGGUAUGCGGAAUGCGUGGUGUAGCGGUGAAAUGCAUAGAUAUCACGCAGAACUCCGAUUGCGAAGGCAGCAUACCGGCGCUCAACUGACGCUCAUGCACGAAAGUGUGGGUAUCGAACAGGAUUAGAUACCCUAGUAGUC